RNAcentral lists this long non-coding RNA (792 nucleotides) under Homo sapiens (human). Its description in RNAcentral is "DHCR7 divergent transcript (DHCR7-DT)". Lineage: Eukaryota; Metazoa; Chordata; Mammalia; Primates; Hominidae. The record is from RNAcentral.
AGGCCCCGCCCUGCCGCCCCACCGGCCCGCCCGGGCCCUAGUGGGUGGGCGCAGCCUCUGGCGCUUCUUCGGGAUCCCAGCUGACCAGCUGGGGGUGGGGCGUGGCGGAGUGGCCACGUGGGCCGCGCGGAGAACGCGCCAGGCUCAUCACCUGGAUCAUCGUGCCUCAGUUUCCCCCUCGGCAAAUGGGGCUUCAGCGGCUCGCGACGCACAUUGAUGGAGCGUAUGUCCAGGCGCCGGUGCACCGCAAGGAGCAAAACAGACACAGUUCUUGGUCCUAGGGCUCACGUCCCGGGGCGAAGAGGAUCCUCCAUAAACGAUCAGCCAUAGCAGCUGUGAUUGGACAAGAGACUGAUUUCAGUGACUUUCUCCUAAUAAGAGACCACCGACCAGCUGACCAUGCCGACCAGCUGACCCGUUAAUAGAGAGAGAUGAUGCACCUGCAUGCCUUUGUGUCCUGAAAAGACGUUUUGCCAUAAAGGCCCUAAUUGUAAGAUGUGUAAAUGUUAAGUCUCCACCCCAAAGUGAACAUGGGUCAUAUAUUACAUGCUUUGCUCAAUAAGAGGGCAUGUGUCAGGACCACCUUCAUGAAUAUUCAUAGCUCCUCCUGUUACCUGUUGAAUAUGUAUGUUUAGCCAAUCCCUUCAGCAUAGCGCUCCUGCCCCAACCCCUCCUCCUUGGACGUGCCUGUCUCUGGCCUUGGCUGGAGACAGAUUCCCAGCCUCAGACAGAUGGCCGCCACCUUGCAGGCUACGACCGUUUACAAGAAAUAAAGCCUUCUCUUUUUCCAAA